RNAcentral lists this ribosomal RNA (493 nucleotides) under uncultured bacterium. RNAcentral's name for it is "SSU rRNA". It matches the Rfam family "Bacterial small subunit ribosomal RNA", at positions 26 to 521 of the family's 1533-position model. The record is from RNAcentral.
AGGACGAACGCUGGCGGCGUGCUUAACACAUGCAAGUGGAGCGACGAACCGGGGCUUGCCCCGGGGCAGAGCCGCGAACGGGUGAGUAACACGUGGGUUACCUGCCUUGAUGACCGGGACAACCCGAGGAAACUCGGGCUAAUACCGGAUGUGCCCGCAAGGGGAAAGGAAGCUUCGGCCUCCGCAUCAAGAUGGGCCCGCGGCCCAUUAGCUUGUUGGUGAGGUAACGGCUCACCAAGGCAUCGAUGGGUAGCUGGUCUGAGAGGACGAUCAGCCACACUGGGACUGAGACACGGCCCAGACUCCUACGGGAGGCAGCAGUGGGGAAUCUUGCGCAAUGCGCGAAAGCGUGACGCAGCAACGCCGCGUGGGGAAGAAGGCUUUCGGGUUGUAAACCCUUUCAGUUGGGACGAAGCUUCUCCGGUGAAUAGCCGGACGGAGUGACGGUACCUUCACAAGAAGCACCGGCUAACUACGCGCCAGCAGCCGCGGU